RNAcentral lists this transfer RNA (73 nucleotides) under Stegodyphus mimosarum. It matches the Rfam family "tRNA". From Rfam's summary of the family: Transfer RNA (tRNA) molecules are approximately 80 nucleotides in length. Their secondary structure includes four short double-helical elements and three loops (D, anti-codon, and T loops). Lineage: Eukaryota; Metazoa; Arthropoda; Arachnida; Araneae; Eresidae. The record is from Rfam by way of RNAcentral.
GCUUUUGUGGUAUAGUGGUCAGGACGCUCGGCACGUGUUCUAGAGGUCCGUGGUUCGAGUCCCGGCUAGAGCA